GACGAACGCUGGCGGCGUGCCUAAUACAUGCAAGUAGAACGCACAGUUUAUACCGUAGCUUGCUACACCAUAAACUGUGAGUUGCGAACGGGUGAGUAACGCGUAGGUAACCUGCCUGGUAGCGGGGGAUAACUAUUGGAAACGAUAGCUAAUACCGCAUAAUAUUGAUUAUUGCAUGAUAAUUGAUUGAAAGAUGCUAUUGCAUCACUACCAGAUGGACCUGCGUUGUAUUAGCUAGUAGGUGAGGUAACGGCUCACCUAGGCGACGAUACAUAGCCGACCUGAGAGGGUGAUCGGCCACACUGGGACUGAGACAAGGCACAGACUCCUACGGGAGGCAGCAGUAGGGAAUCUUCGGCAAUGGACGAAAGUCUGACCGAGCAACGCCGCGUGAGUGAAGAAGGUUUUCGGAUCGUAAAGCUCUGUUGUAAGAGAAGAACGGGUGUGAGAGUGGAAAGUUCACACUGUGACGGUAUCUUAACAGAAAGGGACGGCUAACUACGUG
RNAcentral lists this ribosomal RNA (505 nucleotides) under uncultured bacterium. RNAcentral's name for it is "partial 16S ribosomal RNA". It matches the Rfam family "Bacterial small subunit ribosomal RNA", at positions 28 to 507 of the family's 1533-position model. The record is from RNAcentral.